Molecule: ribosomal RNA, 326 nt
Filed under: uncultured eukaryote
Lineage: Eukaryota
Description: partial 18S ribosomal RNA
Rfam family: Eukaryotic small subunit ribosomal RNA
Source: RNAcentral
CCCUUAGAUGUUCUGGGCCGCACACGCGCUACACUGAAGGAGGCAGCGUGUACUCCUGGAUCGAAAGAUUUGGGUAACCCGCGAAUCUCCUUCGUGCUAGGGAUUGAGGUUUGCAAUUAUCCUUCAUGAACGAGGAAUUCCAGUAAGUGCAAGUCAUAAGCUUGCGCUGACUACGUCCCUGCCCUUUGUACACACCGCCCGUCGCUACUACCGAUUGAAUGAUUUAGUGAGGACUUCGGACUGGGACCGAUGCGGCUUUCGGGCUGCGUCGGUAUUCUGGAAAGAUGUCCAAACUGUAUCAUUUAGAGGAAGUAAAAGUCGUAACA